Molecule: ribosomal RNA, 454 nt
Filed under: Leptosphaeria sp. R2HD03
Lineage: Eukaryota; Fungi; Ascomycota; Dothideomycetes; Pleosporales; Leptosphaeriaceae
Description: eukaryotic LSU rRNA
Rfam family: 5.8S ribosomal RNA (bases 105-258)
Source: RNAcentral
GUCUUUUGCGUACCGUAUGUUUCCUCGGCGGGCUUGCCUGCCGGUUGGACAUUAUCAAACCUUUUUGUAGUUGCAAUCAGCGUCAGAAAACAAAUAAUAAUUACAACUUUCAACAACGGAUCUCUUGGUUCUGGCAUCGAUGAAGAACGCAGCGAAAUGCGAAAAGUAGUGUGAAUUGCAGAAUUCAGUGAAUCAUCGAAUCUUUGAACGCACAUUGCGCCCCUUGGUAUUCCAUGGGGCAUGCCUGUUCGAGCGUCAUUUUGUACCCUCAAGCACUGCUUGGUGUUGGGCGUUUGUCCUGCAAAGGACUCGCCUGAAAGCGAUUGGCGGCCAACGUACUGGUGGUAGAGCGCAGCACAAUUUGCGUCUCUCCCCUCUGCGUCGGCGUCCAUGAAGCCUUUUUUCAACGUUUGACCUCGGAUCAGGUAGGGAUACCCGCUGAACUUAAGCAUAC